This 503-nucleotide ribosomal RNA is filed under the name uncultured bacterium. Its description in RNAcentral is "partial 16S ribosomal RNA". It matches the Rfam family "Bacterial small subunit ribosomal RNA", at positions 30 to 523 of the family's 1533-position model. The record is from RNAcentral.
AUUGAACGCUGGCGGCAUGCCUUACACAUGCAAGUCGAACGGCAGCACGGGAGCUUGCUCCUGGUGGCGAGUGGCGAACGGGUGAGUAAUACAUCGGAACGUACCCAGUAGUGGGGGAUAACGCACCGAAAGGUGCGCUAAUACCGCAUACGACCUACGGGUGAAAGCGGGGGACCGUAAGGCCUCGCGCUAUUGGAGCGGCCGAUGUCUGAUUAGCUAGUUGGCGGGGUAAUAGCCCACCAAGGCGACGAUCAGUAGCUGGUCUGAGAGGACGAUCAGCCACACUGGGACUGAGACACGGCCCAGACUCCUACGGGAGGCAGCAGUGGGGAAUUUUGGACAAUGGGGGCAACCCUGAUCCAGCAAUGCCGCGUGUGCGAAGAAGGCCUCCGGGUUGUAAAGCACUUUUGUCAGGGAAGAGAUCUUUCAGGCUAAUACCCUUGGAAGGAUGACGGUACCUGAAGAAUAAGCACCGGCUAACUACGUGCCAGCCGCCGCGGUAA